GACACCGAGUGUCAGCAUCAUAUGCUGGCUGUCCAGGUGUGUAAAAUACACCUGUUAGCAAGGGCCGGGCAAGACCGGUGCCAGCCGCCGCGGUAACACCGGCGGCCCGAGUGGUGAUCGUGAUUAUUGGGUCUAAAGGGUCCGUAGCCGGUUUGGUCAGUCCUCCGGGAAAUCUGAUAGCUCAACUAUUAGGCUAUCGGGGGAUACUACCAGACUUGGAACCGGGAGAGGUAAGAGGUACUACAGGGGUAGGAGUGAAAUCUUGUAAUCCCUGUGGGACCACCUGUGGCGAAGGCGUCUUACCAGAACGGGUUCGACGGUGAGGGACGAAAGCUGGGGGCACGAACCGGAUUAGAUACCCGGGUAGUCCCAGCCGUAAACGAUGCUCGCUAGGUGUCAGGCAUGGCGCGACCGUGUCUGGUGCCGCAGGGAAGCCGUGAAGCGAGCCACCUGGGAAGUACGGCCGCAAGGCUGAAACUUAAAGGAAUUGGCGGGGGAGC
RNAcentral lists this ribosomal RNA (500 nucleotides) under uncultured Methanosarcina sp. RNAcentral's name for it is "bacterial SSU rRNA". It matches the Rfam family "Archaeal small subunit ribosomal RNA", at positions 377 to 877 of the family's 1478-position model. The record is from RNAcentral. Lineage: Archaea; Methanobacteriati; Methanobacteriota; Methanomicrobia; Methanosarcinales; Methanosarcinaceae.